GUCCUACGGGAGGCAGCAGUGAGGAAUAUUGGUCAAUGGGCGGAAGCCUGAACCAGCCAAGUCGCGUGAGGGAAUAAGGCCCUACGGGUCGUAAACCUCUUUUGCCGGGGAGCAAGGGCGGGGACGUGUCCCGGCCCGGAGAGUACCCGGAGAAAAAGCAUCGGCUAACUCCGUGCCAGCAGCCGCGGUAAUACGUAGGUGGCAAGCGUUAUCCGGAAUUACUGGGUGUAAAGGGUGUGUAGGCGGGG
RNAcentral lists this ribosomal RNA (248 nucleotides) under uncultured bacterium. RNAcentral describes it as "partial 16S ribosomal RNA". It matches the Rfam family "Bacterial small subunit ribosomal RNA", at positions 335 to 580 of the family's 1533-position model. The record is from RNAcentral.